CAUUAGAUGGCUGAAAGUAAGCUCAGGUCUCUUAAACCUUGAAAUAGUAACUUAACACUUACUUCUAAUGA
Molecule: transfer RNA, 71 nt
Filed under: Serica sp. NS-2020
Lineage: Eukaryota; Metazoa; Arthropoda; Insecta; Coleoptera; Scarabaeidae
Description: tRNA-Lys
Source: RNAcentral